Molecule: ribosomal RNA, 253 nt
Filed under: uncultured bacterium
Lineage: Bacteria
Description: partial 16S ribosomal RNA
Rfam family: Bacterial small subunit ribosomal RNA
Source: RNAcentral
UACGUAGGGUGCAAGCGUUGUCCGGAAUUAUUGGGCGUAAAGAGCUCGUAGGCGGUUUGUUGCGUCGGCUGUGAAAUCCCGAGGCUCAACCUCGGGUCUGCAGUCGAUACGAGCAAACUAGAGUGUUGCAGGGGAGACUGGAAUUCCUGGUGUAGCGGUGAAAUGCGCAGAUAUCAGGAGGAACGCCGGUGGCGAAGGCGGGUCUCUGGGCAACAACUGACGCUGAGGAGCGAAAGCGUGGGGAGCAAACAGG